GACGAACGCUGGCGGCGUGCUUAACACAUGCAAGUCGAACGGAAAGGCCCUGCUUUUGUGGGGUGCUCGAGUGGCGAACGGGUGAGUAACACGUGAGUAACCUGCCCUUGACUUUGGGAUAGCUUCAGGAAACUGGGGCUAAUACCGGAUAGGAGCUCCUGCUGCAUGGUGGGGGUUGGAAAGUUUCGGCGGUUGGGGAUGGACUCGCGGCUUAUCAGCUUGUUGGUGGGGUAGUGGCUUACCAAGGCUUUGACGGGUAGCCGGCCUGAGAGGGUGACCGGCCACAUUGGGACUGAGAUACGGCCCAGACUCCUACGGGAGGCAGCAGUGGGGAAUCUUGCACAAUGGGCGGAAGCCUGAUGCAGCAACGCCGCGUGCGGGAUGACGGCCUUCGGGUUGUAAACCGCUUUCGCCUGUGACGAAGCGUGAGUGACGGUAAUGGGUAAAGAAGCACCGGCUAACUACGUG
RNAcentral lists this ribosomal RNA (468 nucleotides) under uncultured bacterium. RNAcentral's name for it is "partial 16S ribosomal RNA". It matches the Rfam family "Bacterial small subunit ribosomal RNA", at positions 28 to 507 of the family's 1533-position model. The record is from RNAcentral.